RNAcentral lists this ribosomal RNA (497 nucleotides) under uncultured bacterium. Its description in RNAcentral is "partial 16S ribosomal RNA". It matches the Rfam family "Bacterial small subunit ribosomal RNA", at positions 28 to 507 of the family's 1533-position model. The record is from RNAcentral.
GAUGAACGCUGGCGGCGUGCCUAAUACAUGCAAGUCGAGCGAACGGACGAGAAGCUUGCUUCUCUGAUGUUAGCGGCGGACGGGUGAGUAACACGUGGAUAACCUACCUAUAAGACUGGUAUAACUUCGGGAAACCGGAGCUAAUACCGGAUAAUAUUUUGAACCGCAUGGUUCAAAAGUGAAAGACGGUCUUGCUGUCACUUAUAGAUUGAUCCGCGCUGCAUUAGCUAGUUGGUAAGGUAACGGCUUACCAAGGCAACGAUGCAUAGCCGACCUGAGAGGGUGAUCGGCCAAACUGGAAAUGAGACACGGUACAGACGCCUACGGGAGGAAGCAGAAGGGAAUAUUCCGCAAGGGGGGAAAGCAUGACGGAGCAACGCCGCGUGAGUGACGAAGGUCUUCGGAUCGUAAAACUCUGUUAUUAGGGAAGAACAGAUGUGUAAGUAACUGUGCACAGCUUGACGGUACCUAAUCAGAAAGGCACGGCUAACUACGUG